UACGUAGGGGGCAAGCGUUGUCCGGAUUUAUUGGGCGUAAAGAGCGUGUAGGCGGCCAGACAGGUCCGCUGUGAAAACUCGAGGCUCAACCUCGAGACGCCGGUGGAAACCGUCUGGCUAGAGUCCGGAAGAGGAGAGUGGAAUUCCUGGUGUAGCGGUGAAAUGCGCAGAUAUCAGGAAGAACACCCGUGGCUAAGGCGGCUCUCUAGUACGGUACUGACGCUGAGACGCGAAAGCGUGGGGAGCGAACAGG
Molecule: ribosomal RNA, 253 nt
Filed under: uncultured bacterium
Lineage: Bacteria
Description: partial 16S ribosomal RNA
Rfam family: Bacterial small subunit ribosomal RNA
Source: RNAcentral